This 279-nucleotide ribosomal RNA is filed under the name uncultured bacterium. Its description in RNAcentral is "partial 16S ribosomal RNA". It matches the Rfam family "Bacterial small subunit ribosomal RNA", at positions 506 to 784 of the family's 1533-position model. The record is from RNAcentral.
UGCCAGCCGCCGCGGUAAUACGAAGGGUGCUAGCGUUGUUCGGAAUUACUGGGCGUAAAGAGCAUGUAGGCGGAUGAAUUGGUCAGGGGUGAAAUCCCGGGGCUCAACCCCGGAACUGCCCUUGAUACUGGUAGUCUUGAGUUCGAGAGAGGUGAGUGGAAUUCCGAGUGUAGAGGUGAAAUUCGUAGAUAUUCGGAGGAACACCAGUGGCGAAGGCGGCUCACUGGCUCGAUACUGACGCUGAGGUGCGAAAGCGUGGGGAGCAAACAGGAUUAGAUA